Bombus terrestris (buff-tailed bumblebee) is the source of this 979-nucleotide long non-coding RNA. RefSeq lists it as uncharacterized. The record is from RefSeq and is a predicted model, not a curated record. The transcript has 2 exons. NCBI's taxonomy places the organism in Eukaryota, Metazoa, Arthropoda, Insecta, Hymenoptera, Apidae.
UCUGAAAUAUGUAAAUCGUUAUCGAUGAAAUUCGACUUGUGGAAGAUCGUGACUAUCGCAUUUACCAAGAAAUAUCACGAGUAUAGACUAAUAUAAAAAGAAAAAAAAAAAAGAAAUAAGCUUUAGAAGCAAAAUAACAGUUUUUAUCUAUAAGAGCUGGUAGUUAUAAAUGUUAAAGCCCCAUUUCAAUAAAAAAAAAAGCAUUGAAAUUCAUGGUGAUUUUGUUGAUCCGUUUUUUUUUUUUUUUUUUUUUAGAAUUACAAAGUUUACUUUUAAAAUUUUUAAACUUUUUAUUUAGGAUCGAUUUAUAAUAAUGCUUUCUUCUGUACUCUUUAAAUGACAAACUUUUUAUCAAUAAUCACAUUAAACAAUUUGCUAUUAAAAGUAAACUCUGAACGUGUCAAUAUUCAUUACUGUCUAAUAGUUUUGCCGUGCAUAAUGUCAAAUAUAUUUUGUCAUUCUGCAUAUCGUAUUUCGUAAUUAUUACCAUGCAAUUUUUGGAGGAGAAAAAAAGCUAUACGAUUAUACGAAUUCUCUCAUUACAACGUAAAAGUAAUUUCGCAACUGAAGAUCUCAAGCUGCUGCCCGAUUAUAGAUAUGGGAGUGCAAGAAAAAUCAAACGACUCUAACCUCGCUACACCCAAUCAUGCGAUGCCACAAUACAAGAGAGCUAAUUAGUCUCCGGUUACGUUGAGUCGCACCGCUACGCUACCUUGGCGAGACACGUUGCCCCGUGCCAUCGACGUGCGAGUUUGCUUUGUAGCCACAUUUUUGUACACGUCUAGACAGUCUUGCGACCCAAUAUUUCUGUUCGUCAGGACUACCAGCCAAUAUUAAUAAUUCACGAGCACUGUUUGGAUCGUAGUGUAAUUUGCAGGGUGCUAUGGCAUCUUCCUUUUUGUCCAAAUGCUCCUUAUGAACUUUUAUACGACACCCUGUACACACGCAAUAACAAUAUCAUUACAUAUUUUAUUAUAAA